AGCAGCCGCGGUAAUUCCAGCUCCAAUAGCGUAUAUUAAAGUUGUUGCAGUUAAAAAGCUCGUAGUUGAAUUUCGGGGUCAGUAGGUCGGUCGUGCCACUGGUAUGAACUGGUUUUACUGAUUCCUCCCUCUUGAAGAACUGUAAUGCCAUUAAUUUGGUGUUGCAGGGAAUCAGGACUGUUACUUUGAAAAAAUUAGAGUGUUUAAAGCAGGCUUUAGCUUGAAUACAUUAGCAUGGAAUAAUGAAAUAGGACGUUUGAUCCUAUUUUGUUGGUUUCUAGGAUUGACGUAAUGAUUAAUAGGGAUAGUUGGGGGCAUUAGUAUUCAAUUGUCAGAGGUGAAAUUCUUGGAUUUAUUGAAGACUAACUACUGCGAAAGCAUUUUGCCAAGGAUGUUUUCAUUAAUCAAGAACGAAAGUUAGGGGAUCGAAGACGAUCAGAUACCGUCGUAGUCUUAACCAUAAACUAUGCCGACUAGGGAUCGGAUGAUGUUAAUUUUUUAAUGACUCA
This 509-nucleotide ribosomal RNA is filed under the name Glomus sp. MO-G2. RNAcentral describes it as "SSU rRNA". It matches the Rfam family "Eukaryotic small subunit ribosomal RNA", at positions 569 to 1078 of the family's 1831-position model. Lineage: Eukaryota; Fungi; Glomeromycota; Glomeromycetes; Glomerales; Glomeraceae. The record is from RNAcentral.